GGUUCUGUAGCGAAGUUGGUUAUCGCGCUGCCCUGUCACGGCAGAGAUCGCGGGUUCGAGUCCCGUCAGAAUCG
RNAcentral lists this transfer RNA (74 nucleotides) under Streptococcus sp. Its description in RNAcentral is "tRNA-Asp". It matches the Rfam family "tRNA". Rfam says of the family: Transfer RNA (tRNA) molecules are approximately 80 nucleotides in length. Their secondary structure includes four short double-helical elements and three loops (D, anti-codon, and T loops). Further hydrogen bonds mediate the characteristic L-shaped molecular structure. tRNAs have two regions of fundamental functional importance: the anti-codon, which is responsible for specific mRNA codon recognition, and the 3' end, to which the tRNAs corresponding amino acid is attached (by aminoacyl-tRNA synthetases). tRNAs cope with the degeneracy of the genetic code in two manners: having more than one tRNA (with a specific anti-codon) for a particular amino acid; and 'wobble' base-pairing, i.e. permitting non-standard base-pairing at the 3rd anti-codon position. The record is from RNAcentral. Lineage: Bacteria; Bacillati; Bacillota; Bacilli; Lactobacillales; Streptococcaceae.